RNAcentral lists this transfer RNA (72 nucleotides) under Apis laboriosa (Himalayan honeybee). Its description in RNAcentral is "tRNA-Gln". The record is from RNAcentral. Lineage: Eukaryota; Metazoa; Arthropoda; Insecta; Hymenoptera; Apidae.
UUUAUUUUAGUGUUAAAGCACAUAAAAUUUUGAAUUUUAUAGAAUUAAUUAAUUUUAUAGAAUUAAUUAAAU